Molecule: ribosomal RNA, 270 nt
Filed under: uncultured bacterium
Lineage: Bacteria
Description: partial 16S ribosomal RNA
Rfam family: Bacterial small subunit ribosomal RNA
Source: RNAcentral
GUCCACGCCGUAAACGAUGGGUACUAGGUGUUGGGGGGUAUUGACCCCCCCCAGUGCCGCAGUUAACGCACUAAGUACCCCGCCUGGGAAGUACGGCCGCAAGGCUAAAACUCAAAGGAAUUGACGGGGGGCCCGCACAAGCGGUGGAGCAUGUGGUUUAAUUCGACGCAACGCGAAGAACCUUACCUGGGCUUGACAUCUCAGGAACCCCCCUGGAAACAGGGGGGUGCCCGCAAGGGAGCCUGAAGACAGGUGCUGCAUGGCUGUCGU